Molecule: small nuclear RNA, 106 nt
Organism: Pteronotus mesoamericanus
Lineage: Eukaryota; Metazoa; Chordata; Mammalia; Chiroptera; Mormoopidae
Source: RefSeq, a predicted model, not a curated record
GUUCUCAGCUUGGCAGUACAUGUUCUAAAAUUGAAAUGAAACAGAGAAGAUUAGAAUGGCCCCUGUGCAAGGAUGACAUGGAAAUUUGUGAACGUUCCAUAUUUUU